GCCGGUGUGGCGGAACGGCAGACGCACCAGGUUCAGGGCCUGGCGGCCGCAAGGUCGUGGGGGUUCAAAUCCCUCCACCGGCA
RNAcentral lists this transfer RNA (83 nucleotides) under Candidatus Lindowbacteria bacterium RIFCSPLOWO2_02_FULL_62_12. RNAcentral describes it as "tRNA-Leu". It matches the Rfam family "tRNA". From Rfam's summary of the family: Transfer RNA (tRNA) molecules are approximately 80 nucleotides in length. Lineage: Bacteria; Candidatus Lindowiibacteriota. The record is from RNAcentral. RNAcentral also lists the same sequence under 1 other name.